CGAAAUCUACCUUUCCGUCCGGGAUAACUAGCCGAAAGGUUAGCUAAUACCAGAUGCGCUCAUCGAACGGCAUCGUUUGAUGAUGAAAGCAGCAAUGCGCGGAUUGAGGAGCCUGCGGCCCAUUAGCUAGUUGGUGAGGUAACGGCCCACCAAGGCAACGAUGGGUAGCUGGUCUGAGAGGACGACCAGCCACACUGGGACUGAGACACGGCCCAG
This 216-nucleotide ribosomal RNA is filed under the name uncultured bacterium. RNAcentral describes it as "partial 16S ribosomal RNA". It matches the Rfam family "Bacterial small subunit ribosomal RNA", at positions 120 to 334 of the family's 1533-position model. The record is from RNAcentral.